This is a small nuclear RNA of Otolemur garnettii (small-eared galago), 107 nucleotides long. The record is from Ensembl. Lineage: Eukaryota; Metazoa; Chordata; Mammalia; Primates; Galagidae.
CUGCUCGCUUCGGCAGCACAUGUACUAAAAUAGGAACAAUACAGAGAAGAUUAGCAUGGCCCCUGCACAAGGAUGACUCCCAAAUUUGUGAAGCGUUCCAUAUUUUU